This 70-nucleotide transfer RNA is filed under the name Echinoderes svetlanae. RNAcentral's name for it is "tRNA-Gly". Lineage: Eukaryota; Metazoa; Kinorhyncha; Cyclorhagida; Echinoderidae. The record is from RNAcentral.
AUUUCUUUAGUGUUAAAUUAUGCAUAAUUAACUUCCAAUUAAUAGGUUUUGAUAAUAUCAAAAAGAUUUA